CUUUUUGCUGUCAUUGACCAAUCUCUUUUUGUCUCGUUUGGGCAGAAGAUAACUUUCCCUCCUCCUACCCAGAGAGUGGAUUUCGAUUCUCCCAUCUCCCGAUAAUAAGAGCUCCAACAUCUUACAUAAACCUCACCGAUACAUGCUGAGGCAAUCCUUCUAUAGCUUUGAAGUCAGGAUAGGACUUUGGUGUUCUUCAUGCCUUUGUUGUCACAUUUAGAUCGAAGAGUUCUUUUUCUAAUCAUGUAUUCUUGAGGAUGUUUUCAAUGGUUCUUCGAUAUCCACCCAGUCCCUCAAAGCCCAAUGAAAUAUUGAAGGACUCUACUCGAUGCCUUCGUUUUUAAUAGCUGCCUUCAUUUUUUAUAGCUUAAAUCUGUCGUCGCCCUUAUUUUUUAUGCCUCAAAUCUGUCGACAUGUACUUUGAACGUUCCCUGCCUCCCCCUAGGUUUGCUUUCUUAGUGUUAGAUGUUAAGAUAAACGCCUUCAUUUGGUUGUUGCAUGAGCAUCGACAACAUUUUUCUUCUCCAGCGAGAUUUGGAUCCAGCGACACUUUUACAACUCCUCAGAUUGUUUGUUAUUGAAUCGAGUCCUACCCGAUUCUUGCUUGCUAGGGUUUCUAGAGGUUUCUUUAUGUUGUGCAGGCUGGACUUGCUAGCCUUUGAGCUUUUUUAUUUGUUUUUGGAUGUGUCUAUCCUUCAUUUGGAUGUGUUUGUAAUCUUGGACUUUGACUCUCUUAACAAAUUAAUCUUUUAUCUUUGAAAAUAAAAAUUUAUCAACCAUA
This is a long non-coding RNA of Manihot esculenta (cassava), 781 nucleotides long. RefSeq lists it as uncharacterized. The record is from RefSeq and is a predicted model, not a curated record. The transcript is spliced from 2 exons. Lineage: Eukaryota; Viridiplantae; Streptophyta; Magnoliopsida; Malpighiales; Euphorbiaceae.